ACGCGAGCUGGGUUCAGAAAGUCGUGAGACAGUUCGGUCCCUAUCCAUCGCAGGAGUAGGAAAUUUGAGAAGACCUGUCCUUAGUACGAGAGGACCGGGAUGGACGUACCUCUGGUGUACCAGUUGUUCUGCCAAGGGCAUGGCUGGGUAGCUAUGUACGGAAUGGAUAAGCGCUGAAAGCAUCUAAGCGCGAAGCCAACUUCAAGAUAAGAUUUCCCACCGCAAGGGUAAGACCCCAGAAAGACUAUCUGGUUGAUAGGUCGAAGGUGUAAGUGCAGCAAUGUAUUUAGCUUAUCGAUACUAAUAGGUCGAGGACUUGACCAAU
Molecule: ribosomal RNA, 325 nt
Filed under: Clostridioides difficile
Lineage: Bacteria; Bacillati; Bacillota; Clostridia; Peptostreptococcales; Peptostreptococcaceae
Description: bacterial LSU rRNA
Rfam family: Bacterial large subunit ribosomal RNA
Source: RNAcentral